AGGAUAGGGGGAGUUAUAUGUGUGAGAGUGCUGUGCGGAAAUAUAUAAUGAACUAAGGUGGAAGCUAAAAACAGUUUAAGUGAAAUGAGUGAUAAAAUAUAACAACUAAAUUCUUUUUAUAAUAAAUAGUACAUACAUGACAUUAACAAACGCUGAUUGAGGAAACAAAGCCUUAUUUUUUUAAGCACGUUAUACAGUGACUAACUUCAUGCGUAAAUCACUGACGAUCGUAUUCGUGGUGUUGGUGUGUGCAGUAAUGCUGUGUGCGUCCCAGAAGGCGGGUGGCGGUAAGGGCAGGCCGAAGUCGACAAAAGCUCCCGCGCAAAAGCCAGCAGGAACACGGGCACCCAACACGAGAGAUAACGGCGGUAGCGGCGGUAGUGGAAGGCCCACCCGUCCACCACCAUCCGGACGCUAAGAUGACGAUCUCCCAUCUCGAGCCUUUGCAACACCAGUUUAUUAUUUGUUUCAAAUUAUAACUAUGUGACUAAAUUUUAGAAAUUGUAUAUUCGAAAAUGCAAAUGUGAACUGUUUUACCGAUUUAAAGGUACAAUGUAAUUGUAUAGACCAAUCCUUUUUUUCACAAAUUGUAUGUAAUUUAAAAUUGCAAAAGAAAUACUGAUCGUU
Dreissena polymorpha is the source of this 627-nucleotide long non-coding RNA. RefSeq lists it as uncharacterized. The transcript is spliced from 3 exons. NCBI's taxonomy places the organism in Eukaryota, Metazoa, Mollusca, Bivalvia, Myida, Dreissenidae. The record is from RefSeq and is a predicted model, not a curated record.